GCAAAUUAGGUUUCCAAAUAGGACUGACUUGGUGGGGGUCACAGUAAGGAGGCCAGCUACAGGGUUGAGGGGACUUACCUGCCUAGCUCCCCUACUGGAGCAAGCAGAAAUAACUUUGAGGAGGCUGUAGUAGGAAAAGCCUGAAUCUGGGAAAGAAGCAGCAGAGAAAAGACUUUUUAAAGUGGCCGUUGUGAAGGAACGUGGAAGCUGAGGAAUAGCAAGAAUGAAGAGAGCUCCCCAUCCACCGGGAAACCCAGAGAAUUUCAGAGAUCUGAAACUGAGUAAUCUCUCACACAAGGGCAAUUGGGGCUGAGCCUGGGCCUGACCCUGAAUCCCAAGGGCAGGCUUUGGGAAUCUGAGGGGCAGCAGCUAACUGCCGGUGAGGAGGUGCUGUGUUCAUCCCUCAGUCAGGGGCAGAAGCUUUAUGUAACGAAGGGUUCUCUGAGCCAGCUCUGCAGCUGGUUAGGGCUCAGGCUUAAGGAUCUACAGGUAGAGGGUUGCCUUUUUUUCCUUCCAAAGGUAUGUGAUUGGGUAAAAGAGACAAUGCUACAUUUUCCUCAAAGAAAUAUCUGGCCUACAGAUCAAGAUGGACCUUCCAUCCUGGAAUGGAACUGCUACAGGGAACGACUGGGCAUGCCUCACCUCCUGGAGCCAUGCUGGUGGCCUGCAUGUAUCAUGGGAAUUUCUCAGAAUGGCCUAGCCUUGGCAACGGGUUGAGACAGGGGAGUUUGAAGCUUGUUUUAGGAUUCUCCCUUCACCAAAAACCUUUCUAGCCACCCACCCUGUGCUCCAUUCUUCUGGGACUUCUCUAUCAGUAUUUUGCCUUCCCAACUAAGGGGUGGUUGAGAGUCAAUGAAAAAAUAUUUAUUGAGCCUACUAUUUGUCCAGCAAGUAUAAAUAGUCCAUUCAUGUUACUCCUUAUGCCUCGGCUGCCAGAAAAACAAAGGUCAAAUUUAUUGCUAAAAUAGAAGCAGAACAUUCUCCAUGUCUGAAACCAUCAUUCCUUCUGGUUCUUUCAGAUGGAUUCCAUUUAAACUGAUCCCAGACUGUAUCCUUCUUUAGAGGCACCUUGAAUGAUAUCAAAACAAGGCUGGAGCACAGUGCUUUGCAUCCUUAUCAAUGCACAAAGAAGGACAAAACCCAGAGACUCCAUCUGUGGCUGGGAUGCCUAGACCUUCCCAACAGUUGCUGCAAUGGCUUGACUUGAUUUCGAAAAUGCUGGACACUCACGAGGGCUAAAUCUUGCUCCUACUCAUGCUUGGUUCUUUUCCUUACUUUGUUCUUUCUCCAUGUCAUUUAUGUAUCCAUGUCGGUUUGGUGCUGGGGUGAAAUAUUGAAUGAUGGAGACGCCAGCCUUCUAACUCCGGAGCAGAUCCAGAAGUGGUAAAGAAAAGCUGUUCUGACAGGAUUCUAUCUCCUCUCCGGACAGUGGCCCCGGCUCUGUCCAUUACCAGGAAGAGGACAUUGGCUACAGCUCAUCCCUUUACAGAAGGAGGCUGGAGGCAUAAAGAAGAUAAGCGUCUGUCCAAGGUCACCGAGCAAGUUAGGGGCACACGGGAAGAGGAUUAGACCCCCUGAUUUGUAAUCUUGUUCUCCUUCCACUGCACUUCACUUUUUGAAACCGAUUGUCAAUGCGCUAUAGCAGGCUUAAGUCCAAAUUAACGGAAUCUUCAAUGGAUAGAAUUCUUCAGGAUCCCCUUGAAGCGUGACAGCUGCAAUGACUUCCAGAUGUUCGCCUCCUCUCUUCUAGCAGACUAGGGUGGAUGUGGUAAACUCCGCGAUGGAAACCAAAAACCCA
Molecule: long non-coding RNA, 1798 nt
Organism: Equus asinus (donkey)
Lineage: Eukaryota; Metazoa; Chordata; Mammalia; Perissodactyla; Equidae
Source: Ensembl